GUCUAUAGCCACCGGCCACCCUGAACAAGCCUCAUGUCUGAUCUCCGAAGCUAAGCAGGGUCGAGCCUGGUUAGUACUUGGAUAGGAAACCACCUAGGAAGACUAGGUGCUGUAGGCA
Molecule: ribosomal RNA, 118 nt
Filed under: Pteropus alecto (black flying fox)
Lineage: Eukaryota; Metazoa; Chordata; Mammalia; Chiroptera; Pteropodidae
Also listed under: 1 other name
Source: RNAcentral